GGUCAAGUGAAUAAGCGCAUACGGUGGAUGCCUAGGCAGUAGAAGGCGAUGAAGGACGUAGUAGCCUGCGAUAAGCCUCGGGGAGCUGGCAAACAAGCUUUGAUCCGGGGAUUUCCGAAUGGGAAAACCCACCCUUCGGGGUACCGCGCAAGCGGAGCUAACCUGGGGAACUGAAACAUCUAAGUACCCAGAGGAAAAGAAAUCAACCGAGAUUCCCUCAGUAGCGGCGAGCGAACGGGGAAGAGCCGAUCAAUCAGUGCGUAGUGGAAGGGUCUGGAAAGUCCCGCGACACAGGGUGAAAGCCCCGUACACGAAACCAACUGAGUGACAAAUCAAGUAGGGCGGCGCACGUGAAACGCUGUCUGAAGAUGGGGGGACCAUCCUCCAAGGCUAAAUACUCUCUACUGACCGAUAGUGAACCAGUACCGUGAGGGAAAGGCGAAAAGAACCCCUGUGAGGGGAGUGAAAUAGAACCUGAAACCGUAUGCGUACAAGCAGUGGGAGCCCGACCACUCAAUCGUUUUGAGGUAACGGAUGUACUACUUUUAUGUGUUGCGCAAUGUGGAAAACGCGUCCGAAUUUUAUACCGGAUCGACCGGUGAUCUUCGCAGGCGUUUGGCCGAGCACAACCAAGGCAAGCAGGCCGCAACGGGUGGCCGGCAAUGGGAAGUAGUGUAUUACGAAGCCUAUCGAAGCGAACGAGUGGCCAGAGAGCGAGAGCAUAAGAUCAAGCGUAACGGUCGUAUGCGAACGAUCCUCAUGAACCGCAUUACAUCGCAAUUUGAUGAUCCUUGAGUGGUCAGGGCCUGCCCGACCACUCAAUCGAUCGAAGAGCGAUUGAGUGGUCGGGUGACUGCGUACCUUUUGUAUAAUGGGUCAGCGACUUACAUCUCAAUGGCAAGGUUAACCGACUAGGGGAGCCGUAGCGAAAGCGAGUCUUAAUAGGGCGCAUAGUCGUUGGGAGUAGACCCGAAACCGGGCGAUCUACCCAUGGCCAGGUUGAAGGUGGGGUAACACCUACUGGAGGACCGAACCGGGAUCUGUUGAAAAAGAUUCGGAUGAGCUGUGGGUCGGAGUGAAAGGCUAAUCAAGCCCGGAGAUAGCUGGUUCUCCUCGAAAGCUAUUUAGGUAGCGCCUCGUGAAUCACCGCUGGGGGUAGAGCACUGUUUCGGCUAGGGGGUCAUCCCGACUUACCAACCCGAUGCAAACUCCGAAUACCAGCGAGUGCAAUCACGGGAGACACACGGCGGGUGCUAACGUUCGUCGUGGAAAGGGAAACAACCCAGACCGCCAGCUAAGGUCCCAAAAUCAUAUCUCAGUGGGAAACGAUGUGGGAAGGCCCAGACAGCCAGGAGGUUGGCUUAGAAGCAGCCAUCCUUUAAAGAAAGCGUAAUAGCUCACUGGUCGAGUCGGCCUGCGCGGAAGAUUUAACGGGGCUUAAGAUAUGUACCGAAGCUGCGGAUGCAAGCUUGCUUGCAUGGUAGAGGAGCGUUCCGUAAGCCGUUGAAGGUGUGUUGUGAAGCAUGCUGGAGGUAUCGGAAGUGCGAAUGCUGACAUGAGUAACGAUAAAGGGGGUGAAAGGCCCCCUCGCCGAAAGCCCAAGGGUUCCUGCGCAACGUUAAUCGGCGCAGGGUAAGUCGGCCCCUAAGGCGAAGCCGAAAGGCGUAGUCGAUGGGAAACUGGUUAAUAUUCCAGUACCUGUGGGAGAGUGACGGAUUGCGGAAUUCCUGAUCGGGCGUUGGUUGUCUCGAAAAGGAGCUAGCAGUUCCAGGAAAUAGCCCCCACAUACAGACCGUACCCCAAACCGACACAGGUGGGCGGGAUGAGUAUUCCAAGGCGCUUGAGAGAACUCGGGUGAAGGAACUAGGCAAAAUGGUACCGUAACUUCGGGAGAAGGUACGCCCACGCAAGUGGGCCGCAGUGAAAAGGUGGCUGCAACUGUUUAUUAAAAACAUAGCACUCUGCAAACUCGAAAGAGGACGUAUAGGGUGUGACGCCUGCCCGGUGCCGGAAGGUUAAUUGAUGAUGUUAUCUUCGGAGAAGCAUUUGAUCGAAGCCCCGGUAAACGGCGGCCGUAACUAUAACGGUCCUAAGGUAGCGAAAUUCCUUGUCGGGUAAGUUCCGACCUGCACGAAUGGCGUAAUGAUGGCCACACUGUCUCCACCCGAGACUCAGUGAAAUUGAACUUGCUGUGAAGAUGCAGUGUACCCGCGGCUAGACGGAAAGACCCCGUGAACCUUUACUACAGCUUUGCACUGGACUUUGAGCCUACUUGUGUAGGAUAGGUGGGAGGCGCUGAAGCGUGGACGCCAGUCUGCGUGGAGCCGACCUUGAAAUACCACCCUGGUAUGUUUGGAGUUCUAACCCAGGCGCAAGUCGGGGACCGUGCAUGGUGGGUAGUUUGACUGGGGCGGUCUCCUCCCAAAGAGUAACGGAGGAGCACGAAGGUACCCUAAUUCCGGUCGGAAAUCGGAAGAUUAGUGCAAUGGCAUAAGGGUGCUUGACUGCGAGGCAGACACGCCGAGCAGGUGCGAAAGCAGGUCAUAGUGAUCCGGUGGUUCUGAAUGGAAGGGCCAUCGCUCAACGGAUAAAAGGUACUCCGGGGAUAACAGGCUGAUUCCUCCCAAGAGUUCAUAUCGACGGGGGAGUUUGGCACCUCGAUGUCGGCUCAUCACAUCCUGGGGCUGAAGUCGGUCCCAAGGGUAUGGCUGUUCGCCAUUUAAAGUGGUACGCGAGCUGGGUUUAGAACGUCGUGAGACAGUUCGGUCCCUAUCUGCCGUGGGCGUUGGAGAUUUGAGGGGAGCUGCUCCUAGUACGAGAGGACCGGAGUGGACGUACCUCUGGUGUUCCGGUUGUCACGCCAGUGGCAUUGCCGGGUAGCUAAGUACGGAACGGAUAACCGCUGAAAGCAUCUAAGCGGGAAACCGGCCCCAAGAUGAGAUCUCCCUGGGCCCUUGAGGCCCCUGAAGGUCCGUUGAAGACUACGACGUUGAUAGGCGGGAUGUAGAAGCGCGGUAACGUGUGGAGCUAACCCGUACUAAUUGACCGUGAGGCUUGACCAU
RNAcentral lists this ribosomal RNA (3062 nucleotides) under Magnetovirga frankeli. RNAcentral's name for it is "gamma proteobacterium SS-5 Bacterial large subunit ribosomal RNA". It matches the Rfam family "Bacterial large subunit ribosomal RNA". Lineage: Bacteria; Pseudomonadati; Pseudomonadota; Gammaproteobacteria; Chromatiales; Sedimenticolaceae. The record is from Rfam by way of RNAcentral.